Molecule: ribosomal RNA, 429 nt
Filed under: uncultured bacterium
Lineage: Bacteria
Description: bacterial SSU rRNA
Rfam family: Bacterial small subunit ribosomal RNA
Source: RNAcentral
GGGUUAAGUCCCGCAACGAGCGCAACCCCUAUCUUCAGUAGCCAGCAGGUUAAGCUGGGCACUCUGGAGAGACUGCCAGGGAUAACCUGGAGGAAGGUGGGGAUGACGUCAAAUCAUCAUGCCCCUUAUGACCAGGGCUACACACGUGCUACAAUGGCGUAAACAAAGAGAAGCAAAACUCGCGAGGGUAAGCAAAUAUCAAAAAUAACGUCUCAGUUCGGAUUGUAGUCUGCAACUCGACUACAUGAAGCUGGAAUCGCUAGUAAUCGCAGAUCAGAAUGCUGCGGUGAAUACGUUCCCGGGUCUUGUACACACCGCCCGUCACACCAUGGGAGUCAGUAACGCCCGAAGUCAGUGACCCAACCGUAAGGAGGGAGCUGCCGAAGGUGGGACCGAUAACUGGGGUGAAGUCGUAACAAGGUAACCGUA